CUUCAGACUCGCACAGCCAAGUUUUGCAUUUCCAACUAAGCUAAGUUUUAAAGGACACAGACGUGAAAAGACAUUUAUGAUAAGGAGAUCAGAUGCCUUUGCAAAGAGCAUAGCUGGUACCAAGCCACCAUGACCGUCGGGAGAACAGCACUAACUGAGGGACGGGCAGCCCUGCAGCGCAGCACAGCCCAGCCACGCUCUGAGACCAGAAGCUCCACUCGCAAAGGGCAGCAUUCAUUCUGCGGAUGACGGGUGGCUGACAAACGACAUGGCAUUUUUAGCUGUUUCUGGGACCCAUUCUCUGAAAACAGAAUUGUAACUGCAAGGUGGUCUGUGUUUUUGCGUGUUGUUGGUCUAAUCGUGUGUCCACCAUGAGUCUGGCUGUCACUCAGCAGAUGCUGGCUGGGAAGCUGUGUGUGCAGAUGCCAUCCCAGUGCUGGUCAUCAGUGACAAAGCCCCAGGCUCGCCGCCCUGUCAGUGCUCGCUGCCCAUGAGGGGGAGUGGGAUGCUAAACAGUGAACUGCACCUGAAAUCACGAGUUGCGGUGACGCUGGGGUGCAGAGCGGAGGUCGAGAGCAAACAGGAUGGAGGCCAGAGGGAGCCUCUCGGAGGAGGUGUCGAGCUGAGAGGAGAAUCUUCAACGCUUAAAAAAAUACUACUGUGUAAAUUAGAAACGCCUUUUCUGGACCGCAGAAGAAUUAACUGGGGCCAUCACUUUUUAAGGGCUACUGAGGGCAACACCCCGACCUGGGAGUGAUCGGAGGGGCCGCCCUUGCUGCAGGGAG
This 785-nucleotide long non-coding RNA is filed under the name Equus caballus (horse). RNAcentral describes it as "lncRNA (ENSECAG00000060372.1)". Lineage: Eukaryota; Metazoa; Chordata; Mammalia; Perissodactyla; Equidae. The record is from RNAcentral.